AGGUUCUUUAUAACCGUUACAUUUGUUCUUGUCAUAAUAUCAAAUAUUAUCAUUACAAACCUAUACUAUUACAUAAGUAAUCUACAAGUUCGCUUUAGCCUUCCCUUUUUCCUUGACGAAUCCUUCGGUCCAUUCGGUCGAAGCUGCAUUCAUAUUGUUCAAGCAAGAGUGAGCAUAACAAGCUCAACAAGUACAACAAUUUCAUUUAAAAAGCAUGCUUGAAACAUAGG
Molecule: long non-coding RNA, 230 nt
Filed under: Panax ginseng (ginseng)
Lineage: Eukaryota; Viridiplantae; Streptophyta; Magnoliopsida; Apiales; Araliaceae
Description: long non-coding RNA (PGIN_LNC017159)
Source: RNAcentral